Molecule: ribosomal RNA, 254 nt
Filed under: uncultured bacterium
Lineage: Bacteria
Description: partial 16S ribosomal RNA
Rfam family: Bacterial small subunit ribosomal RNA
Source: RNAcentral
UACGGGGGGGGCAAGCGUUGUUCGGAAUUACUGGGCGUAAAGGGUUCGUAGGUGGCCUGCUAAGUCACACGUGAAAUCCCUCAGCUUAACUGGGGAACUGCGUCUGAUACUGGUGUGGCUUGAGUGCAGGAGAGGAACGCGGAAUUCCAGGUGUAGCGGUGAAAUGCGUAGAUAUCUGGAGGAACACCGGUGGCGAAGGCGGCGUUCUGGACUGCAACUGACACUGAGGAACGAAAGCCAGGGGAGCAAACGGG